UAUUAUUAUUAUAAAGAAGCCUUUGAAUUGCGUGAAAUUUAUCUUCUUCCUCCACUCAUCACGCAAACCCUAGUCGCACGUCGCCACCCUCCUCCUGUAAUCUUCUCCAUUUGUUUUCUUCGUUCGCUGCUUGCUCAAACGGAGACGAGAACUGCCGCCCAACCGAGAACAAUCAUUUGUGCUGCAUUUUACACUAAGUUGCCCGAACCCCAACUCGUCCCACUUCAUUUGUUCCAUAUGUGUCCCUCCAUGCUCUGUUCUCCGUCGCGACCUCACCGUUGAAGGGUGCCACUACUGCUAACUGUCGUUCGCUGGCCACGCCUCUCCGUCGAGCUUGGACGAAGCCCCAUCGUCCACCGCACACCCGGCAGUCGAGGCCCUCUCUAAGCCGCACGCAUCCCUCUUCACCAAAACGUGUGAGUCGCGUUCUUCACCCCAAUUGACGACUCCCUGCUCCCAGCCGACCUCUCUUUCUUGAGCCAUUUACAUGCCGCUUCUUUGUAGUCAACCAAGUUGACUUUCGUUGGAGGAAUUGAGCGGUACAUUUUGUCCCGUUCAAGGUUGUGUUUGGAUUCAACCUCAGCUUGAGUAAGUUUGGGUUUUGGGCACUUAAGGAAAGUAAAUGAGAUGGUUAGUUGUCAAAAUUAAUAAUGUUGGGUUUACUGUAAGGAAGAGACUAUAUUUUAGCUAAUCUCCAGGUAAGAGGUUUUUCUAUUAGAACCCACCUUGAAACUACACAUAUGUUUAGUAGUGUAGCUAAGGGAGAUAUAAUAUGACUAUUUGAGAUGACUUUAUAAAUGGUUACUUCGAUAACCAUAUUAUGAUUGAGAUACAAUAUAAUUGAGGCAUACUAUAAUUAAAUAUACUAUGUUUGAGUUA
This is a long non-coding RNA of Cucumis sativus (cucumber), 879 nucleotides long. RefSeq lists it as uncharacterized. The transcript has 2 exons. Lineage: Eukaryota; Viridiplantae; Streptophyta; Magnoliopsida; Cucurbitales; Cucurbitaceae. The record is from RefSeq and is a predicted model, not a curated record.